This 253-nucleotide ribosomal RNA is filed under the name uncultured bacterium. RNAcentral describes it as "partial 16S ribosomal RNA". It matches the Rfam family "Bacterial small subunit ribosomal RNA", at positions 524 to 776 of the family's 1533-position model. The record is from RNAcentral.
UACGAAGGCAGCAAGCGUUGUUCGGAGUUACUGGGCGUAAAGGGUGUGUAGGCGGUUCUUUAAGUUUGGUGUGAAAUCUCCCGGCUCAACCGGGAGGGUGCGCCGAAAACUGAAGGGCUAGAGUGCGGGAGAGGAGAGUGGAAUUCCUGGUGUAGCGGUGAAAUGCGCAGAUAUCAGGAGGAACACCAAUGGCGAAGGCAGCUCGCUGGGACGGUACUGACGCUGAGGCGCGAAAGCGUGGGGAGCAAACAGG